RNAcentral lists this ribosomal RNA (1064 nucleotides) under Melampsora laricis-populina. Its description in RNAcentral is "eukaryotic LSU rRNA". The stretch from base 769 to 1064 matches the Rfam family "Eukaryotic large subunit ribosomal RNA", at positions 1 to 288 of the family's 3401-position model. Lineage: Eukaryota; Fungi; Basidiomycota; Pucciniomycetes; Pucciniales; Melampsoraceae. The record is from RNAcentral.
GUACACACCGCCCGUCGCUACUACCGAUUGAAUGGCUUAGUGAGGCGUUCGGAGAGCCUAUAGGGUGCUGGCAACAGUGCUUUACUGGUUCAAAGUUCUACGAACUUGGUCAUUUAGAGGAAGUAAAAGUCGUAACAAGGUUUCCGUAGGUGAACCUGCGGAAGGAUCAUUAAUACAUGUUGAGCGCACUUUAAUGUGACUCUUUGUAUAAACCAUUACCCCCCAAACCCAGAGGUGCAUUGUGGCCCGUCAAAAGGUUAGCAGUGUAUCAGUACGUAUCUCAAAGGCAACUUUGAUUUACAUUACCCAUCAUUUACCCCCAUUUACACUUAAGAAGUUUUAAGAAUGAUAACCAUAACUAUAUAACUUUCAGCAAUGGAUCUCUAGGCUCUCACGUCGAUGAAGAACACAGUGAAAUGUGAUACGUAAUGUGAAUUGCAGAAUUCAGUGAAUCAUCGAAUCUUUGAACGCACCUUGCACCUUUUGGUUAUUCCGAAAGGUACGCCUGUUUGAAUGUCACGAAACCCCCCUCGGCCCUCAUUCUUUCUAAAAGCAUGGGGGACGGAUUCUGAGUGUUGGCGUGUCAACGCCUCGCUUCAAAUAGAUUAGCACUUUUGGAUGGUAUACUAUUAGUUCAAAAGACGUACUUGAUGUUGUAUUUAUAUUUCAUUGAGGCAGUCUUUGGUCGCUCCGACUAUCCGCUAAUAGGGCAACUUGAAGAAUAGCUUCCUAACCCUAUCAACUUAAUUAAGUAAUUAAUUAAUCUUUAGACUUCAAAUCAGGUGGGACUACCCGCUGAACUUAAGCAUAUCAAUAAGCGGAGGAAAAGAAAAUAACUAUGAUUCCCUUAGUAACGGCGAGUGAACAGGGAAAAGCCCAAAUUUGUAAUCUGGCACUUUUUACAAGUGUCCGAGUUGUAAUUUGUAGAACUGUUAUCCGCGCUGGACCAUGUACAAGUCUGUUGAAAAGCAGCAUCAUUGAAGUGAAAAUCCUGUAGAUGAUAUGGACUACCAGUGCAUUUGUGAUACGGUUUCUAAGAGUCGAGUUGUUUGGGAAUGCAGCUC